This 887-nucleotide long non-coding RNA is filed under the name Pogona vitticeps (central bearded dragon). RNAcentral's name for it is "lncRNA (ENSPVIG00000011354.1)". The record is from RNAcentral. Lineage: Eukaryota; Metazoa; Chordata; Lepidosauria; Squamata; Agamidae.
GAAAUAAAGUAGGCAUUUCUUGAUGGCCAUUCCUGCACUGUAGCUUCACAACCCUUUUUCCUUUCCUUGAAUUAUGUCUCACAAAAAAGAUUAGACUUUGUGAGUCAUCCUUAAGACUUAGGUGAGAUUUCACACUGCAAAAGCCCCAUACAGAACAGCUCACCUGAAUUCAGUUUACGUCUAAUAAUGGAGGAAGCAAUGGGCCACUGCCAAGCAGUCUCUCCAGAAAGCACUCCGCUCCCAUCGCCUUCUCUUUGAUAAUGAGAGAGACCUUCAGGUGCCUUUUCUGAUGUUAGCUACAGCACUGUGGCAUGUAAAGCGAAGCAGCCUCCAGAGGCAGGAGGGAGGUCCAAGGCUAUUUAGAUAACUGCAGGUCAAAAAACAGCACUCUGAAAUUGUACCUGGGGACUUGCAGGCAGCCGACACAGAUCACAGGAUGUGAAUAGGAGCAAGAGACACAACGUGAGUGGUGCUGUUUCUUGCAGACUUCCUUCUGUCAAUAAAUGCCAGAGGAAGAGAAGAUAAGUGCCAUGAUAAUUUUUGUUGUGGGGAGGAAAUUCUCACUGCAAAGAAAUCAAUAAACACCAGUGAUUCCCAUCUCUGCUGUUAUAUGGGCUUGGAAAUGCCCACAGGCAAAAUGAGAAAAACAAGGAAAAGAAAUAACAACAGGUAGGUCUCCAUACCUUCACAGAAUUCCACCUACAUGGAGAGAAUUUUUUUAAAAAAUCUAGUUUCAUCUGAUUUUAUCCCAGGGCACAUCUAUCACUUUUGCAUUUUCCUGCUUUGAACCUGUUCUCUCCAGGGACUCUCCUCUCUGCCCCCCAUGCACUGUAUUUUGUGUGCAGGUAAAGCAGAGGUUUUUCCUAGCGGCAAAGGAGGCAACCUUG